CUGAGGGUAGCAAUACAACACCACUCGAUAAAAACACCGUAAACUCGAUCGUUAACACAAUAAAGCAAAACAUUAUCGACGAAAAAUUGUAUGGAGACGAAAUAGAAUCCUCUAUUAAAAAUGUUACUGCGACAGAAGCACUCUUCAACGAGGUUGAGCCUUUAUACUCAAAAUUUUGUAAAAACAAGAAUCAAGACAAACUGCUAAAAAUCUUUCUAUGGU
Non-coding RNA from Paramuricea clavata, 222 nucleotides. NCBI's taxonomy places the organism in Eukaryota, Metazoa, Cnidaria, Anthozoa, Malacalcyonacea, Plexauridae. The record is from the annotation of a GenBank genome assembly.